This is a long non-coding RNA of Trichosurus vulpecula (common brushtail), 802 nucleotides long. RefSeq lists it as uncharacterized. The record is from RefSeq and is a predicted model, not a curated record. The transcript has 3 exons. NCBI's taxonomy places the organism in Eukaryota, Metazoa, Chordata, Mammalia, Diprotodontia, Phalangeridae.
AGCAGCCUCCUCUCUUGCUUGUUCUUCCUCCUCGUCCCCACCCCUUUCACUUCUUUUUCUCCCUCUCAAUCUCUCGCCUUCUCUCUUUCCAGCCUGCCGCCUCCACCUCCUGGUCCCUGCUCAGGUGUCAGUCACUCUGUUAGGCCUGGUUUGGAGAAGAAGAAUGGCCAGGGUGGGUUGGAUGAGAGCGGAAAGGCAGAGGAGAGAGAAGCCCUGCCCACCCCGGUGCAAAAGUAUACCCUCUCUUCCUUUGCAACUGUGCUUUCCUGGUGUGGUUGAGCCGCAGUGUGAACAACUAAGUGCAGUGAAGAAACAGUCUGCCAAAGAUGUUACACGAGUAAUAAAUGGUAGAGCCUGGGAUCUGAAUGCUGGUCAAAAUCUUUCUCUAUUUCUACUACACCUUGUUUCAUUCUGCCAAGGUCAUAAAGCUUAGAGUUUCCAAGGACAGCAUCAUGACACAGGUUCAAAAUGAAGACUUGUCUUUUACGUACAACUUGAGACCACACCACCUCUAAAAUUACCUCCUAACUUGGGAGAUUACAGUCAACUCAAUUAUACCUGUGUGGAUUUUGCCCCAUAAUCUCGAAUGGUUUGGGGCUAUCACUGAUGCCUCAUCCAUGUCUACCUCUCUUCCUUGACCCCAAUGCUUCUACAGGUGUACCACAAGGUUCCACAUGCCAUUUGAGGGGGCAUUCCCCACUUUUUCUUGACAUCACAAAGACACUAAUGGAGCAUGUGGUAUGUCUAUCAUUUAUCUCUCAUUCUCACUGGUCCAUCUUUUCCACUCAUCUUUUUUUUUUAA